This 497-nucleotide ribosomal RNA is filed under the name uncultured bacterium. Its description in RNAcentral is "partial 16S ribosomal RNA". It matches the Rfam family "Bacterial small subunit ribosomal RNA", at positions 29 to 508 of the family's 1533-position model. The record is from RNAcentral.
AUGAACGCUGGCGGCGUGCCUAAUCCCUGCCAGUCGAGCGAACAGACGAGGAGCUUGCUCCUCUGACGUUAGCGGCGGACGGGUGAGUAACACGUGGAUAACCUACCUAUAAGACUGGGAUAACUUCGGGAAACCGGAGCUAAUACCGGAUAAUAUAUUGAACCGCAUGGUUCAAUAGUGAAAGACGGUUUUGCUGUCACUUAUAGAUGGAUCCGCGCCGCAUUAGCUAGUUGGUAAGGUAACGGCUUACCAAGGCAACGAUGCGUAGCCGACCUGAGAGGGUGAUCGGCCACACUGGAACUGAGACACGGUCCAGACUCCUACGGGAGGCAGCAGUAGGGAAUCUUCCGCAAUGGGCGAAAGCCUGACGGAGCAACGCCGCGUGAGUGAUGAAGGUCUUCGGAUCGUAAAACUCUGUUAUUAGGGAAGAACAAAUGUGUAAGUAACUAUGCACGUCUUGACGGUACCUAAUCAGAAAGCCACGGCUAACUACGUGC